This 46-nucleotide small RNA is filed under the name Sinorhizobium meliloti 2011. RNAcentral describes it as "putative ncRNA". Lineage: Bacteria; Pseudomonadati; Pseudomonadota; Alphaproteobacteria; Hyphomicrobiales; Rhizobiaceae. The record is from RNAcentral.
CGAAACCAAUCACCUUUUGGCGAUCAUUUUGACGCACGGAGCCAUA